GUGCCAGCAGCCGCGGUAAUACAGAGGUCCCAAGCGUUGUUCGGAUUCACUGGGCGUAAAGGGUGCGUAGGUGGCGGGGUAAGUUUGAUGUGAAAGCUCCGAGCUUAACUCGGAAAUGGCAUUGAAUACUAUCUUGCUCGAGGUUUGGAGGGGGGACUGGAAUUCUCGGUGUAGCAGUGAAAUGCGUAGAUAUCGAGAGGAACACCAGUGGCGAAGGCGAGUCCCUGGACAACACCUGACACUAAGGCACGAAAGCUAGGGGAGCAAACAGGAUUAGAAACCCUUGUAGUCC
Molecule: ribosomal RNA, 292 nt
Filed under: uncultured bacterium
Lineage: Bacteria
Description: partial 16S ribosomal RNA
Rfam family: Bacterial small subunit ribosomal RNA
Source: RNAcentral